AACGAACGCUGGCGGCAUGCCUAAUACAUGCAAGUCGAACGAGAUCUUCGGAUCUAGUGGCGCACGGGUGCGUAACGCGUGGGAAUCUGCCCUUGGGUUCGGAAUAACAGCGGGAAACUGCUGCUAAUACCGGAUGAUGACGUAAGUCCAAAGAUUUAUCGCCCAGGGAUGAGCCCGCGUAGGAUUAGGUAGUUGGUGGGGUAAAGGCCUACCAAGCCUACGAUCCUUAGCUGGUCUGAGAGGAUGGUCAGCCACACUGGGACUGAGACACGGCCCAGACUCCAACGGGAGGCAGCAGUAGGGAAUAUUGGACAAUGGGGGCAACCCUGAUCCAGCAAUGCCGCGUGAGUGAUGAAGGCCUUAGGGUUGUAAAGCUCUUUUACCCGGGAUGAUAAUGACAGUACCGGGAGGAUAAGCCCCGGCUAACUCCGUGCCAGCAGCCGCCGUAA
RNAcentral lists this ribosomal RNA (449 nucleotides) under uncultured bacterium. RNAcentral's name for it is "partial 16S ribosomal RNA". It matches the Rfam family "Bacterial small subunit ribosomal RNA", at positions 29 to 523 of the family's 1533-position model. The record is from RNAcentral.